Molecule: transfer RNA, 72 nt
Filed under: marine sediment metagenome
Description: tRNA-Ile
Rfam family: tRNA
About the family: Transfer RNA (tRNA) molecules are approximately 80 nucleotides in length. Their secondary structure includes four short double-helical elements and three loops (D, anti-codon, and T loops).
Source: RNAcentral
UGGCCCGUAGCUCAGCGGUAGAGCGUCCGACUGAUAAUCGGAAGGUCGGUGGCUCAAAUCCACCCGGGCCAA